UACGGAGGGUGCAACCGUUGCUCGGAAUUAUUGGGCGUAAAGCGCUCGUAGGCGGCUUGUUAAGUCGGGUGUGAAAGCCCAGGGCUCAACCCUGGAAGUGCACUCGAAACUGGCGAGCUUGAAUAUGGAAGAGGGUCGCGGAAUUCCCGGUGUAGAGGUGAAAUUCGUAGAUAUCGGGAGGAACACCAGUGGCGAAGGCGGCGACCUGGGCAGAUACUGACGCUGAGGUGCGAAAGCGUGGGGAGCAAACAGG
This 253-nucleotide ribosomal RNA is filed under the name uncultured bacterium. RNAcentral describes it as "partial 16S ribosomal RNA". It matches the Rfam family "Bacterial small subunit ribosomal RNA", at positions 524 to 776 of the family's 1533-position model. The record is from RNAcentral.